This is a long non-coding RNA of Haplochromis burtoni (Burton's mouthbrooder), 1325 nucleotides long. RefSeq lists it as uncharacterized. The transcript is spliced from 3 exons. The record is from RefSeq and is a predicted model, not a curated record. NCBI's taxonomy places the organism in Eukaryota, Metazoa, Chordata, Actinopteri, Cichliformes, Cichlidae.
CCUCUUCUUCUUCUCCUCCUCUCUCCGCUCUCACCCGUUUCACUGGCUGGAUGGCCAAAUCACCCCUGACAGGCCGGAGCUUUCAUGCGGCGCUGCGAGUGUUUGUGUGGCACACUGUACAAAAGAGCAGGGACACACAGGACCCUCUUCAGCACGUCAGGCUGCCCCCUGUUUGCUCAGACUGCCGAGGGGCUUCACGGGGCCGGAGGUCCGUCUGCCGUCGAUGAAGGCACGUCUGGAUCCCAACUGGAUGCUCAUCAACUCCACGAGGACCUCCUAACUUCAAACUGAAGCUCCUCUACCGUCUGAGAAACGGAGGCAGCAGGAAUGAUGAUCAGACUGGGAAGACUGACACCGGGAUACUUCCGCCUCCUCCAGAGGCAGAUGUCGGGUGAGGUCCAGAUUCAGCCGCAGAGCAGCCUCAUCGAUCCUAUCGCCAUGACGAUGGCCGCGGUGGGGAUGGGAGUGUCUCUGUACAGCGCCAGGCGGAUGUCAGAGAGAGUCCAGCUGAAGCGGCCAAACGCCUGAGAGAUCUCACCUGUUCACCGGUUCAGUUUCUGCGGUUCAUGCGACAUGUGUUUGUGAACGUCAGAGAAAGUCAGCGGAGGAGGAGUGUGUUUAUGUGUGUGGGUGUGUCUGUGUGGUGCUAGAAGGAAAAUCUAAGUGUCCCCGAAGGAAAAUGUGAGUCGGUCAUCAGCAUGUCGCAUGUGUGAAGCUGUAGUUUGAUAACCCUACGUGUUGUGUGCAGGAUGUCUUUAAAAGGAGUGCAUAUUAAAUCAGAGAUUUGUACUUUAAUUCAGUUAAUCAUCAAUUAACAAACAGCAUUAGAGUUUAGUUUUAAUUUAAAAAUGUGUAUAAUACAGAUGUAAUUCAAUUCAAUUUUAUUUAUAUAGAACCAAAUCACAACAAGUCGCCUCAAGGUGCUUUUUAUUGUCAGCUAAAAAUCCUACAAUAAUACAAGGAAAACAGAGAAAAGCCCAACAAUGAUUAGACCCCCUAUGAACAAGUGCUUUGGUGACAGUGGGAAGGAAAAACUCCUUUUUAACAGGAAGAAACAUCCAGCAAAACUAAUGUAAGUUGAAAAUCUUACAAAGUUAUUUUAUUCAUUAAUAUUAGUCACAAACACACCUUUCCAGGCAUUUCUGUUAGUUUUUAUAUAAAUUAUUAAGCAGCAUCACAUCUGAGUAUUUCUUCACUAAUCACACUAAGCAUCUUCGAAGCAUCUUCGAACGACUUACUGAAGAAGAUGUCUGUAAAUGUAAGAUGCUAACUCAGAGAUAUCUACACUUCUUUGUGCAUCUAAUAAAAAUGUUCACAUUUUCUGA